UACGGGGGGGGCAAGCGUUGUUCGGAAUUACUGGGCGUAAAGGGCGCGUAGGCGGCUUUUCAAGUCGGGCGUGAAAUCUCCGGGCUUAACCCGGAAGGGUUGUUCGAUACUGUUGAGCUAGAGUGUGGAAGAGGCAACUAGAAUUCCGUGUGUAGCGGUGAAAUGCGCAGAUAUCGGGAGGAACACCGGUGGCGAAGGCGGAUCUCUGGGCCUGUCCUGACGCUGAGGCGCGAAAGUGUGGGGAGCGAACAGG
RNAcentral lists this ribosomal RNA (253 nucleotides) under uncultured bacterium. RNAcentral describes it as "partial 16S ribosomal RNA". It matches the Rfam family "Bacterial small subunit ribosomal RNA", at positions 524 to 776 of the family's 1533-position model. The record is from RNAcentral.